GGAGGUUUUCAAAUUUAAGUAACAAUAUUUGAAAUGAGAUUAUUUAUCUAGUUCAGAGUCGCCACUUAGGAUAGGUUUGACUCUUAGUGUCCCAAGUCAUCAGUUUAUCUUGAAUCCCAAUUCGAGGAAAAUAUUCGACUUUCCGAGUGAAGUCUGCAAACCAGAAAUUCUAAGUAAGGAAUUCUGUUAACUCGAGGGAAUGUGUUAGGUACCCCCGGAUCCCGUGGUUCUAGCAUGAUCGCUUAAACCAUUAUAAAUGGCUAAAAUCUGAUUUUUAUACAUGUUCAUCCUAUAAUGCAAUUUUAA
RNAcentral lists this long non-coding RNA (306 nucleotides) under Nicotiana benthamiana. Its description in RNAcentral is "long non-coding RNA (NBEN_LNC039011)". The record is from RNAcentral. Lineage: Eukaryota; Viridiplantae; Streptophyta; Magnoliopsida; Solanales; Solanaceae.